CAGUAGCCACGGGAAUACGAAGGGGGCUAGCGUUGCUCGGAAUUACUGGGCGUAAAGGGAGCGUAGGCGGGCAUUUAAGUCAGGGGUGAAAUCCCAGAGCUCAACUCUGGAACUGCCUUUGAUACUGGGUGUCUUGAGUGUGAUAGAGGUAUGUGGAACUCCGAGUGUAGAGGUGAAAUUCGUAGAUAUUCGGAAGAACACCAGUGGCGAAGGCGACAUACUGGAUCAUUACUGACGCUGAGGCUCGAAAGCGUGGGGAGCAAACAGGAUUAGAUACCCGCGUAGUCCCUGUCUCUUAUAC
RNAcentral lists this ribosomal RNA (301 nucleotides) under uncultured bacterium. Its description in RNAcentral is "partial 16S ribosomal RNA". It matches the Rfam family "Bacterial small subunit ribosomal RNA", at positions 509 to 807 of the family's 1533-position model. The record is from RNAcentral.